UAUUCGGUUCCAACCAGAAAGUGUCUGACACUAAUGGGGCGAUAGCUCAAGCCAGGGAAUCAAAGUCAAAUCACGAUCCGAACUCAAAUGAGAGACUGAACCACAUGAUUAAGAAUCAUGUAUAAUGGUGACGUUGUUAUUCUCAAGGUUGCUUCUAUGGAUAACAUAUAGAUAUCCAUUGUCUAGGCCUACUACUCAGCCAUUUAUGAAAUGACUACAGAAGAGGUAUCAUCACUGAUGACCAAGCUGAUUGGCUCUAAUGCAAGUGGGAGAUUGUUGGAAAUGUGCCCUAAAACCAAUCAUAUGAUGAUACUUUACGGACAUUUCACAUGUUAAACUAAUCUAGUUUAAUAUCAAGGGCAAAGAUUAUUGUUUGAGCCGUCUCAUAUAAAUGUUAUACGCUUAAACAAUAAGUCCAAGAAAUAUGUGAUUGGGAGAAUGCGAUCUAAAGAAGUUAGAUUCAUGAGACCAUUCUUUCGUAGACACAUCCUAAACGUUCCUGAUCAUAGGAUUGCCAAUUGGGCAUUGACAGUCCAUUAAGAUCAGUACGUGUUGUGUCUUCUCUCAAGGAGAGUGACUAGUCUCGAGUCAUUGGUGUGUGUGACAUCAAGACAAGUAUGUAGGUGCUCAAUAGAGAAUGAGUUCACUGAACACAAUCAACGAAGAGUUCUCAUAUUCAUGUCACAUGAGAACUCAUGGUUGGGAUAAUGCAAAGUAGUCCUUUGACCUGAGGCAUCAUAGUUGUCUUGUGGUUUGGUACUUGAUCUUUGAUUAUGUCAAAGUCACCCCAUCCACGGGUGUCCACGACAUCGUCGGGGUUAAGCCACUUAGCCAUGGAGGCAAGUGAAUGCGCAACAAGGGAUCUCUAACCUUCAAAUUGUUUGGGGGGAGAAUACUCUAUGAUAUGAUUAAGAAUCUCUGGCCAGAGUAUGAAUGAGAUUUAGGAAGUCGUUCCAAAUCACAUUCAAGGUAAUCAUAUAAGCACACGAAUCACAUUGGAUAGUAGACAUGAAUAAACUAUCAAACCAAACAAUGUGGUCAAGAGGAUUGUAUUAGAGAAAGACCGUAUUGCAUUUGUAAUCCUAAACUGAAUAGGUUCUC
This 1101-nucleotide long non-coding RNA is filed under the name Malus domestica (apple). RNAcentral describes it as "long non-coding RNA (MDOM_LNC019729)". Lineage: Eukaryota; Viridiplantae; Streptophyta; Magnoliopsida; Rosales; Rosaceae. The record is from RNAcentral.